This 71-nucleotide transfer RNA is filed under the name Myxococcales bacterium. RNAcentral's name for it is "tRNA-Ala". It matches the Rfam family "tRNA". From Rfam's summary of the family: Transfer RNA (tRNA) molecules are approximately 80 nucleotides in length. Their secondary structure includes four short double-helical elements and three loops (D, anti-codon, and T loops). Further hydrogen bonds mediate the characteristic L-shaped molecular structure. tRNAs have two regions of fundamental functional importance: the anti-codon, which is responsible for specific mRNA codon recognition, and the 3' end, to which the tRNAs corresponding amino acid is attached (by aminoacyl-tRNA synthetases). tRNAs cope with the degeneracy of the genetic code in two manners: having more than one tRNA (with a specific anti-codon) for a particular amino acid; and 'wobble' base-pairing, i.e. permitting non-standard base-pairing at the 3rd anti-codon position. RNAcentral also lists the same sequence under 1 other name. Lineage: Bacteria; Pseudomonadati; Myxococcota; Myxococcia; Myxococcales. The record is from RNAcentral.
GGGGUUGUAGCUCAACGGGAGAGCUUCCGGCUUGCACCCGGACGAUGCGAGUUCGACCCUCGCCGACUCCA